GAGUUUGAUCCUGGCUCAGGACGAACGCUGGCGGCGCGCCUAACACAUGCAAGUCGAACGAGAGAGAGGGAGCUUGCUUCCUCAAUCGAGUGGCGAACGGGUGAGUAACGCGUGAGGAACCUGCCUCAAAGAGGGGGACAACAGUUGGAAACGACUGCUAAUACCGCAUAAGCCCAUAGCUCGGCAUCGAGCAGAGGGAAAAGGAGCAAUCCGCUUUGAGAUGGCCUCGCGUCCGAUUAGCUAGUUGGUGAGGUAAUGGCCCACCAAGGCGACGAUCGGUAGCCGGACUGAGAGGUUGAACGGCCACAUUGGGACUGAGACACGGCCCAGACUCCUACGGGAGGCAGCAGUGGGGAAUAUUGCACAAUGGGGGAAACCCUGAUGCAGCGACGCCGCGUGGAGGAAGAAGGUCUUCGGAUUGUAAACUCCUGUUGUUGAGGAAGAUAAUGACGGUACUCAACAAGGAAGUGACGGCUAACUACGUGCCAGCAGCCGCGGUAAAACGUAGGUCACAAGCGUUGUCCGGAAUUACUGGGUGUAAAGGGAGCGCAGGCGGGAAGACAAGUUGGAAGUGAAAUCUAUGGGCUCAACCCAUAAACUGCUUUCAAAACUGUUUUUCUUGAGUAGUGCAGAGGUAGGCGGAAUUCCCGGUGUAGCGGUGGAAUGCGUAGAUAUCGGGAGGAACACCAGUGGCGAAGGCGGCCUACUGGGCACCAACUGACGCUGAGGCUCGAAAGUGUGGGUAGCAACAGGAUUAGAUACCCUGGUAGUCCACACCGUAAACGAUGAUUAGUAGGUGUUGGAGGAUUGACCCCUUCAGUGCCGCAGUUAACACAAUAAGUAAUCCACCUGGGGAGUACGACCGCAAGGUUGAAACUCAAAGGAAUUGGCGGGGGCCCGCACAAGCAGUGGAGUAUGUGGUUUAAUUCGACGCAACGCGAAGAACCUUACCAAGUCUUGACAUCCCUUGACGAUGCUGGAAACAGUAUUUCUCUUCGGAGCAAGGAGACGGGUGGUGCAUGGUUGUCGUCAGCUCGUGUCGUGAGAUGUUGGGUUAAGUCCCGCAACGAGCGCAACCCUUACUGUCAGUUACUACGCAAGAGGACUCUGGCAGGACUGCCGUUGACAAAACGGAGGAAGGUGGGGAUGACGUCAAAUCAUCAUGCCCUUUAUGACUUGGGCUACACACGUACUACAAUGGCGUUAAACAAAGAGAAGCAAGACCGCGAGGUGGAGCAAAACUCAGAAACAACGUCCCAGUUCGGACUGCAGGCUGCAACUCGCCUGCACGAAGUCGGAAUUGCUAGUAAUCGUGGAUCAGCAUGCCACGGUGAAUACGUUCCCGGGCCUUGUACACACCGCCCGUC
Molecule: ribosomal RNA, 1367 nt
Filed under: uncultured bacterium
Lineage: Bacteria
Description: bacterial SSU rRNA
Rfam family: Bacterial small subunit ribosomal RNA
Source: RNAcentral